CAGCCGCCGCGGUAAUACGGAGGGCGCGAGCGUUACCCGGAUUUACUGGGCGUAAAGGGCGUGUAGGCGGCCUGGGGCGUCCCAUGUGAAAGGCCACGGCUCAACCGUGGAGGAGCGUGGGAUACGCUCAGGCUAGAGGGUGGGAGAGGGUGGUGGAAUUCCCGGAGUAGCGGUGAAAUGCGCAGAUACCGGGAGGAACGCCGAUGGCGAAGGCAGCCACCUGGUCCACUUCUGACGCUGAGGCGCGAAAGCGUGGGGAGCAAACCGGAUUAGAUACCCCAGUAGUCCCUGUCUCUUAUAA
RNAcentral lists this ribosomal RNA (301 nucleotides) under uncultured bacterium. Its description in RNAcentral is "partial 16S ribosomal RNA". It matches the Rfam family "Bacterial small subunit ribosomal RNA", at positions 509 to 809 of the family's 1533-position model. The record is from RNAcentral.